GCUUGGCUAAGUCAGGACUCCCUGGAAGACCCAUCAGGGCUCUAUUAAACCACAAACCAAUCUAGAAGGAGAUGUGAUGAAAAUGCAGGUGAAUUCACUUUUCCCCCUAUUUUUAGUUUUGCUUUUUAGCCCUCAACAUUUCUGUUUCAGAAGUCUUUUCAGGAAAUACCAUCUUGUAUAUACUAUAUUCAAGCAGAAUAAAAGAAAGGGAGAAAAAAAGCUUCAAAGCAGAUUCUGAUCUCUUCCCAUCAUUUAGUGCUGCUGCAAAUAAAAAGUUAGGUGUCAAAAGCCCUCUAGAGAAGAGGUGCAGGUGGAGAAGGAUCACUUUUGUCAAUGCCUGUCCAAAUAACAGCCUUACAACCUUCUCCCAGGAAAUGGAAGAAGGUGGUUCCUGGCUGUAUCUGCCAAACUUCAAUAUAUGUAGACAACAUGCAGCAUUACAUAAUUUGCAACAUUAAAGAAGAAAUAUAGAGGUGAAGAUAUUGUGCAAGAUGUCAGAAUGAAAAAGAAGUUUGAAGCUUUAUAUCCUUUCAAAGUGGGAAGACAAAAGAACAAGCAAUAAAACUGAGAGUUCAGAAAUUCCUGAAUUUGAC
Molecule: long non-coding RNA, 593 nt
Filed under: Cyanistes caeruleus (blue tit)
Lineage: Eukaryota; Metazoa; Chordata; Aves; Passeriformes; Paridae
Description: lncRNA (ENSCCEG00000006180.1)
Source: RNAcentral